AAUGUACGGCUGAAGUUAAUAUGCAUAAGGGUUUUUUUAUGCACAGUACAUAAGUCAAUUUUAGCCACUUGAUCAUGGAAUUGUUUUGCCACAUGUUACGAUCUGAAUGCGUGACACUGUGAGCCUUGUCACACACGAUCACAGAGCUUAUUCAUCGUCUUCGCCGUUUCAAAGAAAUCGCUCGUCUACGCCGUCGCCGUUUCAAACCUUCUUCUCCAUCGUCUUCGCCGUUUCAAAGCUCCUUCUUCGUCGUCUUCUCCGUUAUGCCCAUCGUCCGUUCAUUGUAGUACUAGAGUAAGCUUAUUCUCCGUCGCCGUUUCAAAGAUUCUUCUCCAUCGUCUUCUCCAUUCUCUCUAUCGUCUGUUCAUUGUAGUACUAGAGUGUUUUGUAUAUCCCCUACCAUACAUAGCUAGCUAGUUGUAUAAGUUGCUGGGAUUAAUCAGGGAUCAAGCUGCGGCAAUCAUACUUUGCUGGAGGUUUGGACUCAGAAACAUUGUGUGCAUUUGAAGAGAUAAGGCAACGUGUACCGGGACACCUGGUAGGGUCGCGAGAACUUUUGGCUUGCAUAGCAUCCUCAUGAGAUGUCACUGGUUUUUAAUACUGCUGCUAAUGGUGACAAAAAGUUGGCUACUAAACAUUCAUUAUUCAUUAAAUAAUAUCUUCUUCAAUGCUUACUAUGAAGUAUGAACCACUCAAUCAGAACAGUGAGAAGAUUUUGUGAAGAAAGUACACUCCAAUCAAUAUUUAUAUAAGUCAGCUAUGAAAUUGUUACAACCUGUCUCACAAUCUAGGAAUAGGAUCUUCAUUUAAUUUCAAUAGUGAACUUUUUGAGAUAGUUGACUCUAAUGUUGUAACAAGCUUUGCCUUGUGUAGAUGCAUAUAUAUGUAUUUAACAUUUACAAAGGUACAUUUAAUUCACAAAGGAAAAUAUCAUUACUAUCAUUCUAGUUACUAGUAACACUGGUGGAAUUGUGGUUCUAUAUUUCAUAGAAACAUGCUUGAUCUGAUUUAGUACAUCUUUUUUCAUUCCAAUUUGAUGGCUGCCCAAUGGAAAGAAGUAGGACAUAACAAUGUGUCAGUUGUUUGGAUAAUUUGUUUUAAAAUUCAUAUUUAAUACACAUUUUGAUGUUUGGUUGUGCUACAUUGUGAUUUAUUAUGUUAGAAGUGUUAUAGUUUCCUUUUGACCAUUUUUUUUUACGCGCUUUUAUUGCACUGAGUGCAGCUUUACCACUGAAUUUGAUGCUUUUAUAUUUGGUUUAUCUCAUGUUAUUCUUUACUGAAAUCUCCAGGUUCUAAGAAUUUCAGGGUUGCAAGCAGAGGUUGAUGCCAUCGUCUCAUUCCCUUAUGUGGAGCAAAGAUUGUUUUCACUCUACAAAUGUCAAGAUUAAGCUUGCAUUUGUAUGUCUAUUUGAGCUUUAAAAUCAAACUUGUAAAGGAUGUGAGACAUGGUUGUGUAUUUUUGGAUAAUUCAUUAUCUUUGAUUGGUAAAUUGAUAAUAUAAUAACAUUUUUAUAUUUGGUC
Molecule: long non-coding RNA, 1521 nt
Organism: Trifolium pratense (red clover)
Lineage: Eukaryota; Viridiplantae; Streptophyta; Magnoliopsida; Fabales; Fabaceae
Exons: 3
Source: RefSeq, a predicted model, not a curated record